CCACUUCACUCUGUUGGCACAUACUUACUGAGUGCCUUCUGCAAGCAAGAUACUAUUGGUGAGGCUGGGCAUUCCACGAGAAACUCUGCUGUAACUGGAUCUUCCUUUCAGAGUGCUGAGACAGAUGACGACAGGCUGGGCUUCAGUUCCCUCACCUGGAGAGUGAUGAGAACACCAGCGCAAAAUUCCAGGGCCAUUGGGAAGAUGGAAUGAAAUAGUACAUGUAAUGGCUCGCAUCCAUAGUGCCUGGAACAUAACAAAUGCUCGUAAAGGAACAGAUUGCUCAAAAAUCAGACGACUGUUGGGUGAAAUGCGAGUGGGGAAAGGAGUGAGAUGAAGGGAACAGAGCCCUUCCAAACUCGCCCUUCAGCCUUCCUACCCAAUCAGAAAGGAAAUCAGUCAUGCCCACAAUCCUGCCAAUAACACAGUGUAGCGGCUGCAUUCUUUGGACCAAUGACAGUGAGCUGUAGAAGAAAUCUCAUUUGGAGAAGAGAUGGGGGCUUGUGUUUACUGAACAUCUACUACGAAUCAGGCCCUGUGCUUUUUUUUGCAUCUGUUCUCUUCUAAAGGGGAAUCAGGAUCCUGGCUGAGGGACCCUGGACUAUUUCACCUUUCAGGAUCUCAGUUUCUUUAGACCAAAAACACUAACUCUUAUUUUUUUGUUGCACUUUUUUAAAAAAAAUUAAACUUUAAGUUCUGGGGUACAUGUGCAGAAUGUGCAGGUUUGUUACAUAGGUAUACAAGUGCC
This 748-nucleotide long non-coding RNA is filed under the name Homo sapiens (human). RNAcentral's name for it is "HSALNT0381956". Lineage: Eukaryota; Metazoa; Chordata; Mammalia; Primates; Hominidae. The record is from RNAcentral.